UACGAAGGGGGCUAGCGUUGUUCGGAUUUACUGGGCGUAAAGCGCACGUAGGCGGAUCUUUAAGUCAGGGGUGAAAUGCCGGAGCUCAACUUCGGAACUGCCUUUGAUACUGGAGAUCUUGAGUUCGAGAGAGGUGAGUGGAACUGCGAGUGUAGAGGUGAAAUUCGUAGAUAUUCGCAAGAACACCAGUGGCGAAGGCGGCUCACUGGCUCGAUACUGACGCUGAGGUGCGAAAGCGUGGGGAGCAAAC
This 250-nucleotide ribosomal RNA is filed under the name uncultured bacterium. Its description in RNAcentral is "partial 16S ribosomal RNA". It matches the Rfam family "Bacterial small subunit ribosomal RNA", at positions 524 to 773 of the family's 1533-position model. The record is from RNAcentral.